CAAAUCAAAAAUUUUAACAACAAACCGAAAUGAAUUGGAAAAUUGAAUUUGCAACCAAAUGCAAACUCAAAAUUUCAAAAUCCAAACCCAAAUCGAAAAUUGAAAAUCGAUUAAUUGGUUAUGGAGUGAAUCUGUAAUUGGGUAACCAGUCAUAUAUGAACUUCAAAGUUCAAACCACAAACCCAAAAUUCUUUGUAAUUAAACUGCCAUUGAAAUCGAUGCAAUUGCAAAUGAGAUACAUACAUAACAGAAAAAAUCAACAUAUCUGCAAGCUGCCAUUGAAACCCAGAUGCAAUUCCAAAUGAGAUACCAAUUAAAACUUCCCCUCUCCAACAUCAACAUCUCAAACCCCAUUUCCAAAACGAUGUUGGGCUUGAUUCUAGAUAGAGUGGGUGGAAUUGGAAUUUGGUGUUCUGAAAUUCAUAUAUUUGAUUUUGGGACCCAUUUUAAAAACUAGCUGCUUUAUUAAGAUCGGAAUUGAAAUCUAAAUCGUUUGGCUGGAAAAAAAAAUCUCAGAAGGACCAUAUUUUUCAUAAAAUUGUUGUUGUUCUUGCCUUGGAUCUUUCUUUGUGCUCUGUAUUUGAUAAGAUAGAGAAACGAAAUCAAGAGCCCAACACUUUCCUCCUGUCAGUAUUCAAUACCUAAAAUAAACCAAACAUGAAUCCAAAAACUUGAGCGUCGUCUUCUUCAUCGUCGCUUUCUUCGGUAGGUAAACACAAAUCGCAAAUACAAAAAUCUAUGUCAUUUUCUUCACCACCGCUUUUCUAUACCGCUCCACCGAAGAAUCUGUGUUUGAGAUCUGAUCUAUGUUGCCGUCCUCCUUUUUCCACUACAUCCUCCUCCAUAAAUCUGAUCGAUGCUUUGAGGUUUUAGUUAAUUGUUU
Molecule: long non-coding RNA, 883 nt
Filed under: Panax ginseng (ginseng)
Lineage: Eukaryota; Viridiplantae; Streptophyta; Magnoliopsida; Apiales; Araliaceae
Description: long non-coding RNA (PGIN_LNC010816)
Source: RNAcentral